This 253-nucleotide unclassified non-coding RNA is filed under the name uncultured Chitinophagales bacterium. RNAcentral's name for it is "contains 16S-23S intergenic spacer region". It matches the Rfam family "Bacterial small subunit ribosomal RNA", at positions 524 to 776 of the family's 1533-position model. Lineage: Bacteria; Pseudomonadati; Bacteroidota; Chitinophagia; Chitinophagales. The record is from RNAcentral.
UACGGAGGGUGCAAGCGUUAUCCGGAUUUACUGGGUUUAAAGGGUGCGUAGGCGGCCCUGUAAGUCAGUGGUGAAAGGCUGCCGCUUAACGGUAGAAUUGCCAUUGAAACUGCGGGACUUGAGUACAGUCGAGGUAGGCGGAAUGUAGCAUGUAGCGGUGAAAUGCAUAGAUAUGCUACAGAACACCAAUUGCGAAGGCAGCUUACUAGACUGUUACUGACGCUGAGUCACGAAAGCGUGGGGAGCGAACAGG